Molecule: unclassified non-coding RNA, 254 nt
Filed under: Hevea brasiliensis (rubber tree)
Lineage: Eukaryota; Viridiplantae; Streptophyta; Magnoliopsida; Malpighiales; Euphorbiaceae
Source: RNAcentral
CUGCGCCGGAGGAGGGUGUUGAGUGAUGUUAUGCAACAAUUCAAUUUCUUAUAUAUAUAUAUGUGUGUGUGUAUGUAUAUAUAUAUAUGUUAAUUCCACUUCAGCCCUUUGAGAGAUUGAGGAUGCCAUACAUCAUCUGUUUACUCGAAUUGCAGAAAAUAAGUGAUUAAAAAUAAAGACGAUUGUUUGUAAGAAAUAUGCAAUGUUGUAUGUUCUCUUUUUAUGAUAUUUGAUUAGUGCAAAAAAAAAAAAAA